Molecule: long non-coding RNA, 848 nt
Organism: Carya illinoinensis
Lineage: Eukaryota; Viridiplantae; Streptophyta; Magnoliopsida; Fagales; Juglandaceae
Exons: 3
Source: RefSeq, a predicted model, not a curated record
AAUAGGCCUGUUGUGUUGCUCACACUUUACUGGUUGUACUCACCUUGAUUGAAGCAAAACUCUUCUGGUGCUAUACUGUGCCAUGUUUCUUACCUUUAACCCGGUGGGACUGUAAUACACCUGGGUGUUAAUUUGUUUUGUUUUAAGGACACGAAUUGGAUAUGCCUGAAGAGUGAAGAGGCAGUUUUGUAUCUCUGCGAUCUAACUUAUUUUUUGAGGCAGUUUUUCAUCUCUGUGAUCUAACUUAUUUUUUGGCAUUUUGAAAGAGCUGCAGACCACUGGUUUAAGGAGGCCAAAGACAAAUAUACAACUCUCAAUGCAAUCAUCUACUGCAAUAUUAUUUAUGCUCACUGUCAAACAUGCAAUAUGGAUUGAGCUGAGGCAUUGAUAUGUGAGAUGUAAGAAUCGGGCAUAGACGCUCCUAUUGAUAUAUAUCAUACCAUGAUGGAUGGUUAAAACAAUGAUUGGCAAUGGAAAUAAAUGCCUGAUUGUGUUUGACCGACUCAAGGAAUGUGGCUUUAGACCUUCAGUUAUCAGUUACGGAUGUCUCAUCAAUCUUUACACUAAGUAAGGUAUAAGUUCUGUUUCGUGUCUUUUGUCCCAAUAGGGCAUGGUGUAUAUCGGAUAGGUUUCUAAUUUCUCCCUCUUGGGCAAUGUUCAUUAGGGCCUCUCUAUUAUGGGCUAUGUGUUUUCUCUUGUAUACACCUAGUGUAUACGGUUACGUCUAUUGAUAUUAAUAUAUUUUUACUUAUAAAAAAAAAUAGUUAUUUUUUUUGUUUCCAUAUUAGACUUGUUGGGCUAUCUUUGUUAAAGGAAUACAAAAAGACUGCCUGUGGUUUUAUUCUUUU